RNAcentral lists this ribosomal RNA (468 nucleotides) under uncultured bacterium. RNAcentral describes it as "partial 16S ribosomal RNA". It matches the Rfam family "Bacterial small subunit ribosomal RNA", at positions 28 to 507 of the family's 1533-position model. The record is from RNAcentral.
GACGAACGCUGGCGGCGUGCUUAACACAUGCAAGUCGAACGGAAAGGCCCUGCUUUUGUGGGGUGCUCGAGUGGCGAACGGGUGAGUAACACGUGAGUAACCUGCCCUUGACUUUGGGAUAACUUCAGGAAACUGGGGCUAAUACCGGAUAGGAGCUCCUGCUGCUUGGUGGGGGUUGGAAAGUUUCGGCGGUUGGGGAUGGACUCGCGGCUUAUCAGCUUGUUGGUGGGGUAGUGGCUUACCAAGGCUUUGACGGGUAGCCGGCCUGAGAGGGUGACCGGCCACAUUGGGACUGAGAUACGGCCCAGACUCCUACGGGAGGCAGCAGUGGGGAAUAUUGCACGAUGGGCGGAAGCCUGAUGCAGCAAUGCCGCGUGCUGGAUGACUGCCUUCGGGUUGUAAACCGCUUUCGCCUGUGACGAAGCGUGAGUGACGGUAAUGGGUAAAGAAGCACCGGCUAACUACGUG